RNAcentral lists this ribosomal RNA (439 nucleotides) under uncultured bacterium. Its description in RNAcentral is "partial 16S ribosomal RNA". It matches the Rfam family "Bacterial small subunit ribosomal RNA", at positions 339 to 795 of the family's 1533-position model. The record is from RNAcentral.
CUACGGGGCGCUCCAGUAGGGAAUCUUAGACAAUGGGGGAAACCCUGAUCUAGCCAUGCCGCGUGAGUGAUGAAGGCCUUAGGGUUGUAAAGCUCUUUCGCUGGGGAAGAUAAUGACGGUACCCAGUAAAGAAACCCCGGCUAACUCCGUGCCAGCAGCCGCGGUAAUACGGAGGGGGUUAGCGUUGUUCGGAAUUACUGGGCGUAAAGCGCGCGUAGGCGGGCUAUUAAGUCAGGGGUGAAAUCCCGGGGCUCAACCCCGGAACUGCCUUUGAUACUGGUAGUCUUGAGUUCGAGAGAGGUGAGUGGAAUUCCGAGUGUAGAGGUGAAAUUCGUAGAUAUUCGGAGGAACAUCAGUGGCGAAGGCGACUCACUGGCUCGAUACUAACGCUGAGGUGCGAAAGUGUGGGGAGCAAACAGGAUUAGAUACCCUUGUAGUC